AGACAAGGAAAAGAGAAUAAGUAAGGAGAUCACAGAACCAUGGAAUUUAUCAAAUAUAAAUGAAGAAGAAAGGUGUCACGCAAUUUCAAUUAGAAUAAUACACCAAUUAGCCAAAUAACAUUCAAGCUUAAGUGUAAACAAAUCAGCAUCUACCAUAAACAAGUUAAUACCAAAGCUGCCCUAAGUUAAUAAAGGAAACAAAUAUGAACAAUAGAAAAAUUUCUCACAAUCAAAUCAUUUAUCAUCAUGCAGAUUGUCAUGUUAUCAAGCAACCUAGAUAAAGCACGUAGAAAUUCUAAUAAAAAAAAUAAAAGACUGGAUGAAUUAGAAUUAUCCAACGAAUAUCAAGGUAGCCAAAUUUUCAAGAAACAAGAACUCUAAUUCCGACCUAAUAGCAAAAUCUCAUCCGUAUAAACGUCAAAAUAAUCAACCAACAAGCAAAAAGGGACAUAUUUUAGACGUUGCCCAAAUCAGUGUCCAACUCAAAAUGGAUGUUAAUAAAAAAUUGGAAAUUUUCACACAUGUUGAAGGAGGAGAAAUGGUCAGUAAGUUGCAGCAGAAAUUAAUACCCAAAACUGAUGAAUUUCAAAUCUGGAGACCCGACAAAAGUGAAAUUGCUAACAAGAAAAUAGUAAUUAAAUUAUGAAAGGACAAAACCAGGAAAGGAUUGUCCAUGAUCCGUUGUAAAAUUGGAAUCUCAAAGCUUAAACAAAGAGCCCAAUCGAGAUGACCGAUCUCGAGGACAUGGACAGUGCUCUUUACAUCGCUGGUUACUGGAUUGUGUGAGAUUUCAUCAGUGUUGGUCGGGUUUCGUUAUCGCUGAAAUGUUUAUGGGUCUAUUUGGUAGUGGCAAUGAUGGUUUCUAGGAAGAGAGAAGAAGAGAAGAGGGAGAGAAAAGGGAAGGGAAAAGAGAAAGAGAGAGACGGCUAUAGUGUUGUGGAGGUGUUGUAAAAUUGGAAUCUCAAAGCUUAAACAAAGAGCCCAAUCGAGAUGACCGAUCUCGAGGACAUGGACAGUGCUCUUUACAUCGCUGGUUACUGGAUUGUGUGAGAUUUCAUCAGUGUUGGUCGGGUUUCGUUAUCGCUGAAAUGUUUAUGGGUCUAUUUGGUAGUGGCAAUGAUGGUUUCUAGGAAGAGAGAAGAAGAGAAGAGGGAGAGAAAAGGGAAGGGAAAAGAGAAAGAGAGAGACGGCUAUAGUGUUGUGGAGGUGGCGGACUGGAGCAUCACUGCAAAGAUAGAAGGGCGACGCUAGCUCAUGGUGAAGAAUCGUAGGUUGGCGAUGACCGAUGGUGAUCGAUGGCUGUGGGAACAGAGAAAAUUGAGAAGAAAAUAGGUAGAGAGAGCGGUGGCGGCGGUUCUCCGACUAGAAGGUGGUCAGAGAUGGUAGGCGGUGGCUGUUGUGAGGGAGAUGAAGAGAGAGAAAGUAUAGGGUAUGAGGCUGCUAUUUUGGCAUGGAAGAAAUGAUUUUCCUGUAAGA
Molecule: long non-coding RNA, 1476 nt
Filed under: Capsicum annuum
Lineage: Eukaryota; Viridiplantae; Streptophyta; Magnoliopsida; Solanales; Solanaceae
Description: long non-coding RNA (CANN_LNC014559)
Source: RNAcentral